RNAcentral lists this transfer RNA (63 nucleotides) under uncultured Paenisporosarcina sp. It matches the Rfam family "tRNA", at positions 6 to 65 of the family's 71-position model. Rfam says of the family: Transfer RNA (tRNA) molecules are approximately 80 nucleotides in length. Their secondary structure includes four short double-helical elements and three loops (D, anti-codon, and T loops). Lineage: Bacteria; Bacillati; Bacillota; Bacilli; Caryophanales; Caryophanaceae. The record is from RNAcentral.
AUUAGCUCAGUUGGUAGAGCAUCUGACUUUUAAUCAGAGGGUCGUAGGUUCGAAUCCUACAUG